GAUUCAACAAGCUGCAGUGCAUAAUGGCCAUUUGCACUGAUGCGUUCUUAUGUCUGUUAUGUUAUUUUCUCAGACAUGUCUAAUAUUCUCCUAAUGUUGUCAUUGGAUAGGGGUAUGGUGUUACGUUUGUUUGCGUACGACUCCCAAGUUUUCAGUGCACAUAUCAAUCGCACCAGGGAGUAUGAGAUCCUCUGCGCUGGUGUGGGCUUUUUUUGCACUUACUACAAUGCGCUGGGACCGGGUUGUCUGCCUUGUUGUUGACAUUGGAAGCCGCAGUGGAUGAAGAGGGAGCUGCACGUUUUAUAAACGUGUCCAUGAUUUUUCUCUGACAGAUACAGUAUCCUACAUGAACUGGCACCUGUUCCAAUGAAGCUGAUGCUGCUGAUUCAGGUUUACUUUGGGUGAGGCUUGAGAUUAUCAGUUCAAACUCCUACUCAAGUGUAUGCUUAAGCAAUAAGGCCAGAGGGUGUGUGGUAUUUGGCCAAUAUACCACGGCUAAAGGUUGUUCUUAGUCAAGAAACAACGCGGAG
This is a long non-coding RNA of Oncorhynchus tshawytscha (Chinook salmon), 530 nucleotides long. The record is from Ensembl. Lineage: Eukaryota; Metazoa; Chordata; Actinopteri; Salmoniformes; Salmonidae.